RNAcentral lists this ribosomal RNA (253 nucleotides) under uncultured bacterium. RNAcentral describes it as "partial 16S ribosomal RNA". It matches the Rfam family "Bacterial small subunit ribosomal RNA", at positions 524 to 776 of the family's 1533-position model. The record is from RNAcentral.
UACGGGGGGGGCAAGCGUUGUUCGGAAUUACUGGGCGUAAAGGGCUCGUAGGUGGCCAACUAAGUCAGACGUGAAAUCCCUCGGCUUAACCGGGGAACUGCGUCUGAUACUGGAUGGCUCGAGUUCGGGAGAGGGAUGCGGAAUUCCAGGUGUAGCGGUGAAAUGCGUAGAUAUCUGGAGGAACACCGGUGGCGAAGGCGGCAUCCUGGACCGACACUGACGCUGAGGAGCGAAAGCCAGGGGAGCAAACGGG